CAGACAACAGAGAGAGGACACAGCCAGAGCAAUAUAACGUUCUGUAUGCCAACGUGCAGUUCUCCAACAACCAGGCAGAUCCUCUCUACUCCAACAUCAGAUCAGAUCAGCUCCACAGACACAUGGAGGAACAAGAGGUUGCCGAGUACGCUGCUGUUAACUUUAACAGAGCUGGUACUGCUCCGAGAACCAGAGGUCAGGAAACUGUUGAAGAUCCAGCUGCACUGUACAGCACAGUCAACAAAACCUCAUGAAC
Molecule: long non-coding RNA, 256 nt
Organism: Scomber scombrus (Atlantic mackerel)
Lineage: Eukaryota; Metazoa; Chordata; Actinopteri; Scombriformes; Scombridae
Exons: 3
Source: RefSeq, a predicted model, not a curated record